UACAGAGGUGGCAAGCGUUGUUCGGAAUUACUGGGCGUAAAGGGCGCGUAGGCGGUUUGCCAAGUCCCGUGUGAAAGCCCCCGGCUCAACCGGGGAACGGCGCGGGAAACUAGCAGGCUUGAGUUCGGGAGAGGGAAGCGGAAUUCCGGGUGUAGCGGUGAAAUGCGCAGAUAUCCGGAGGAACACCGGUGGCGAAGGCGGCUUCCUGGACCGACACUGACGCUGAGGCGCGAAAGCUAGGGGAGCAAACGGG
RNAcentral lists this ribosomal RNA (253 nucleotides) under uncultured bacterium. Its description in RNAcentral is "partial 16S ribosomal RNA". It matches the Rfam family "Bacterial small subunit ribosomal RNA", at positions 524 to 776 of the family's 1533-position model. The record is from RNAcentral.